GAUGAACGCUGGCGGCGCGCCUAAUACAUGCAAGUCGAGCGAACGGACGAGAAGCUUGCUUCUCUGAUGUUAGCGGCGGACGGGUGAGUAACACGUGGAUAACCUACCUAUAAGACUGGGAUAACUUCGGGAAACCGUAGCUAAUACCGGAUAAUAUUUUGAACCGCAUGGUUCAAAAGUGAAAGACGGUCUUGCUGUCACUUAUAGAUGGAUCCGCGCUGCAUUAGCUAGUUGGUAAGGUAACGGCUUACCAAGGCAACGAUGCAUAGCCGACCUGAGAGGGUGAUCGGCCACACUGGAACUGAGACGCGGUCCAGACUCCUACGGGAGGCAGCAGUAGGGAAUCUUCCGCAGUGGGCGAAAGCCUGACGGAGCAACGCCGCGUGAGUGAUGAAGGUCUUCGGAUCGUAAAACUCUGUUAUUAGGGAAGAACAUAUGUGGAAGUAACUGUGCACAGCUUGACGGUACCUAAUCAGAAAGCCACGGCUAACUACGUG
Molecule: ribosomal RNA, 497 nt
Filed under: uncultured bacterium
Lineage: Bacteria
Description: partial 16S ribosomal RNA
Rfam family: Bacterial small subunit ribosomal RNA
Source: RNAcentral